Non-coding RNA from Cinara cedri, 706 nucleotides. The record is from the annotation of a GenBank genome assembly. NCBI's taxonomy places the organism in Eukaryota, Metazoa, Arthropoda, Insecta, Hemiptera, Aphididae.
AUUAAUUUAAUGCACUAGAGACAAUACCGAUUAUUCGGAUUAUUACCAUAAUAGAUAAUACAAUAAAUAUGUAAUAAAGAGACGGAUGGACCACGCUAUAUUAUAUAUUGUAUUCGAGUUUGCCCGAAAAGAAUACAAGCAGGUUACCAACACAAUGGUUACGGUAUACAUUAAAAAUUCACGUAAUCGUAAUUAUCAACGACGAGCUUAUCAAAACACGGAGUUGAUUAGAUUGUUAACGCAAACUACGACCGUAUUCCGUAACCGCAUUUUACCGUUCUGGUAACUAUAUAUUAUACGUAUAGUAUUCAAGCACACAAUACACCGAAUCCCGAAUCCACGCGUAUUAGUUAUAUAGAGGAAUGUUUCGUAUAUCUCUUUAUUUUCGUACGAUUAUUAAUACUGUUGUAUGUACAUAGAUAAUGUAUAUAAUGCAUAUAAUAUAGAAAAGACCGAUGAAUUAAACAGAUUUGUCUGAUAAGGCGUGAAGUAACAAUACUUUGUUUUUGAUUCGAAGCUGGCAUCAUAAUAUACGUUAUACGUCACGAUAACUUGUCGAUAAUAACUGCCGUUGUUUCUGUGUAAAAUUACAAUAAUACAUUAUUAUAGUAACAACUAACAAUAAUAGAUAGCAAUUAUUACCGUUACCGUCACGCGAAACGCGUACUCUAAGUGAAAUAUUAACUUAGUAUCGAUUAAACCUAUU